AUAUCACAUACUAUAUGAUUCCACUUAUAUAGCAUUUUCAAAAUGACAAAAUUAAAGAGAUGGAAAGCAGAUUAGUGGUUGUUAGAGGUACAGAUUGUGGUAGAGAGGAAGUGGGUGAGGUAGCAUGAGUGGUAUCUUUGUGGUGAUGUUAUGAGAAGUGCUGUACCUUGAUUGUUGUGGUUACACAAAUCUAUACAUGUGAUAAAGUAAUGGUACUAUGUACACGCAUUGUAGUAAUGUCAAAUUCCUGGUCUUAAAAUUAUACCAUAAUUAUGUGUGACAUAACAAUGCAGGAAACCAGGUGACGGAUACAUGAAACCUCUUUAUUACCUUUGCAUCUUCCUAUAAACAUAUAAUAAUUUUAAAAUAAAAAAUAAAACAAAAAAGGUGAUCUUGACAAUUCAAUGAAGAAACAUAAUGGCUUUGUAUUUUAUAUUGUAAUUCUCUCUCUGUCUAGGAAUAGCUUCCUAACUGCAGUAGUAAGAAGGAGAAUAGAAGAUAGAAAUUAGGGGCUACGGAAAUUACUAUUCAUUGGUCCCUAUCUCUAAGGAGAGAUAUGAAAGAGUCUAGGUCGAAGAAAUAACUAAAAAGUAUUUUUUAAAACUAUAAGGAUAAGGAAACAGAUAAACUUUUUAAAAAAGUAAUUACCUUAACAUGAAAUUCAUUGUCCAAUAGGAUAUUUUGAGUCUUCAAGUCAUGAUGAAGUAAAGGAGGAGUCAUAUUGUGCAGGAGUUAGCAAUCCCCCGGAGGAGGCUGUAGAAUGUCCAGUGAGCUGCAAAUUUGGGUGCCAGAGUAUCUGCUGGGGUGUGGGAAGAAAAUGUUAGAUUUCUACUUAUAUUCAUUUCUCAACAAAAAUAAAAGAGAAAUUGUGAUUUAUUAAUA
Molecule: long non-coding RNA, 882 nt
Organism: Rhinopithecus roxellana (golden snub-nosed monkey)
Lineage: Eukaryota; Metazoa; Chordata; Mammalia; Primates; Cercopithecidae
Exons: 2
Source: RefSeq, a predicted model, not a curated record